GAAAAGUCUAGGAUGAAAGGAUAAAUUGUUCAGAAAAUACGAUAUCUGGACUAAAAUAGUUCAUGCUAAUUGAUAGACAUGUGACUUAAAAUUUUUAUUUUAUUGUUUUUAUUGUGUGGCUUAAAGACUUCAAGUUGGUCCCCGAAAUACCACAUUCUGAGGUACACAAUUUCAUGUGAUACUUUAAAAAAUAUGAAAGAACUUAUGAUUUUUUUAAUUUUUAAAAAAAUUGUAUUAGAUAUGUUUGCAGUAAUAAUGAUUACGGUUUUCAUGUGAACUUGAUACAUGUGCAUAACAUAUCUUAAUUUUUCAAUUCCUCUUUCCCUGCUGUUUACCUCCAUCUCUUAGCUUCCUUCCCAUUUGCAAAACACCUAUCUGUCCAACUAAAAGAAUAACACCUAUCUCUAACUACAAAGACCUAGCUUUAACUAAUAAUAAGACUUACCUCUAACUAAAAUAAUUAUGUACCAUGAUUAUGGUACAUUAUAUAAAAUUAUGUCUUUUUACUAUACUCUCUCAAUAAACUCUCCUUGCUGGAAAGUCAAAAGCCAUAAUGAGAAAGUCAACAUGGCAGGAAUACAGACAUUCAACAAGAACUACAGGCAGUGUCUAGAAAUGGAAGGCAGCCUCUAGUUAAGAGUGUUCUCCAGGGAAUCAGUGCAAUAUUAAAAAAGAGAACACAUUCUUCCAUCAACCAGAGUUAGAAGAAAGGAGAUCUUCCACCAUUCAUGUCUCCAGGUGUAAUCACAGCCUUGCUAAGCUAUGCUCAGAUUCUUGGACUGAGGAAACUGACAAAAGAAAAUGGAAUGAAAAUAGAGAGCACACUAAGAAUGAGAGAAAGGAGCCCAUGGACAGAAGUGAAAGGAUCAGAGAAGGUCCUAAGGGAGAAAAAGGUGCUUCAAGCCCAUGACAUGCUGGUAUUGAAUUGCCUCAAAGAAACACAUUAUUUUGUUCAUUUACAAAAACUAGUACAUGUAAUAAUAAUGACAAAAUAUAUAUUACACAUGGCAUAAAAAUGCACUCCAUCAUUCUGAGCAACUUUGUACAUUACUAGUAAUAAAGAAUAUUUUAAAAAUACAAUUUUAAAGAGUAUUUCUCAGUACAAUCAAGCUGGAAUGACAUUUAUAAACUUUAUUUUAAAAUUUCUCACCAGCAAAAUAAAGUGGUUUGAUACAAAUGUGAGUGGGUUAUGAGCAUGGCUG
This 1202-nucleotide long non-coding RNA is filed under the name Chinchilla lanigera (long-tailed chinchilla). RNAcentral's name for it is "lncRNA (ENSCLAG00000024261.1)". The record is from RNAcentral. Lineage: Eukaryota; Metazoa; Chordata; Mammalia; Rodentia; Chinchillidae.